CUACGAGAGGCUCCAGUGAGGAAUAUUGCACAAUGGGGGGAACCCUGAUGCAGCAACGCCGCGUGGAGGAUGACGCAUUUCGGUGUGUAAACUCCUUUUAUAUGUCAAGAAAAUGACGGUAGCAUAUGAAUAAGCACCGGCUAACUCCGUGCCAGCAGCCGCGGUAAUACGGAGGGUGCAAGCGUUACUCGGAAUCACUGGGCGUAAAGGACGCGUAGGCGGGUUGGAAAGUCAGGUGUGAAAUCCUACAGCUUAACUGUAGAACUGCACUUGAAACUUCUAAUCUAGAGUAUGGGAGGGGGAGAUGGAAUUAGUGGUGUAGGGGUAAAAUCCGUAGAUAUCACUAGGAAUACCUAAAGCGAAGGCGAUCUCCUGGAACAUUACUGACGCUAAGGCGUGAAAGCGUGGGGAGCAAACAGGAGUAGAUACCCCUGUAGUC
RNAcentral lists this ribosomal RNA (439 nucleotides) under uncultured bacterium. RNAcentral's name for it is "partial 16S ribosomal RNA". It matches the Rfam family "Bacterial small subunit ribosomal RNA", at positions 339 to 795 of the family's 1533-position model. The record is from RNAcentral.